RNAcentral lists this ribosomal RNA (1484 nucleotides) under Apis mellifera (honey bee). Its description in RNAcentral is "srRNA". Lineage: Eukaryota; Metazoa; Arthropoda; Insecta; Hymenoptera; Apidae. The record is from RNAcentral.
UUUAUUAAAUUUUUUAAUGACAAAAAAAAUUAUUUAUAAUUAUUAUUAUUAAUUCAAAAUUUCACCUAAAAUCAAUAAAUUUAAUUAUAAUUUUUAUUACAAUUUAAAUUAAUAUUAGAAAAAAUUAAUUUAUAAGUCGAGUUUAACCGCUAUUGCUGGCACUCAUAUUUAUCCUUACUAGAACUAAUUUCCGAAUAAAACUUUCAUUCAUUGUUUCAGAAUUCUCUAUUAACUAUAAUUUACUAUAAUUUUUAAUAAUUUUUAUAUUUUAUAUAUAAAUCAAUUAAUACAAUUAAUCUUAAAAACUACAACAUGAUUUAUUUAAUAAAUUUAUAAUAAUAUAUAAUAAUAAAUAUAAAAUAAUUUUUUUAAAAAUAUAUAAUUUAAUUUUUAUUUAUUCAUAUCAUUUAAUAUAUAAUUUUAUUAUUUAGUAUAAAAUUUUAAAUAUAAAAUUAAUUAUUUUAUAUUAUAAAUAUUUUUUUUUAAUUAAUUAAUUUUAAUUAUUAAUAAUAAAUAAUAAAACAAGUUUUUUUUUUUUUUUUUGUUAUAUUUUAUUUAUAUAAAAUAAAAUAUAUAUAUAUAUAUAUAAUUAAAUAUAUAUAUAUAUAAUAUUAUAUAUAUAUUAAUAUAUAUAUAUAUAUAUAUAUAUAUAUAUAUAUAUAUAUCUAUUAAAUAUUUAUAUAAAUAUAAAUAAUUAUAUAUAUAUAUAAUAUUAUAUAUAUGUAUAUAUAUAUAUAUAUAUAUUAUAAUUAUAUAAAUAUAUAUAUAUUAUUUUAUUCUCUAAUUAUAUAUUAAUUUAUAAAUAAUUAUAUAUAUAUAAAUAUUAAUUUUAUAUUAAUAAAUAUAUAUAUAUAAUUAUAUAUUGAUUUAUAAAUAUUUAUAAAACCAAAAUUUAUUAAUUUAUUUUUUAAAAUUUAAUAAUUUUUAUAAAAUUAACUCAAUUUUUUAUACUAAUUCAAAAAAUUAUAUAAUAACAUAUAUGAAUAAAUAAGCAUAAUAAUUAAUUUUCAAUAUUUUUUCUUAAAUUAAAUAAUUUUUUAAUAAAAAAACUUAAAUAAAAAUAAAAACCUAAAUAAAAUAAAAAUUUUUUUAAAAAUAAAAAUUUUAAAAAAUAAAAACUUAAAAAAAAAAUUUAAAAAAAUAAAUAAAAUAAAAAAAUAGUAACAUUAAAAACAAUAAAAAUAAUAUUUUCAAUAAUAAAUUCUAUAUCAAUAAUAUUCCUUAUUUAAAAAUAUUACUUAAUUUAUUUAUAUAGUUUAAAAAAAAACAUUAUAUUUUCAAUAUAAAAAUAAUUAAAUUUAAUUUAUAAAUAUAAUUAAGUCAAAUUUAAUUUAAAUAACAAAUAAAUAACCUAAAAAUUAUUUAUUAAUAAAGAAAUAUCAAUAAAUAAAGCUUCUAACUUUAACUCUAGAUUCGUAAAUAAUCUAUAUUUCUUAUUAUAUAAUUUAAAUAAAUUUAAUUUUAAAAUAAAAUUAUAUAAUAAG